Molecule: ribosomal RNA, 620 nt
Filed under: uncultured archaeon
Lineage: Archaea
Description: bacterial SSU rRNA
Rfam family: Archaeal small subunit ribosomal RNA
Source: RNAcentral
CCGGUUGAUCCUGCCGGAGGCCACUGCUAUCGGGGUUCGAUUAAGCCAUGCGAGUUGAGAGGGUUUAGACCCUCGGCGGACUGCUCAGUAACACGUGGAUAACCUGCCCUAAGGUGGAGGAUAACCCCGGGAAACUGGGGAUAAUACUCCAUAGAUCAGAGUAACUGGAAUGUUUUCUGGUCGAAAGUUCCGGCGCCUUAGGAUGGAUCUGCGGCCGAUUAGGUAGUUGUUGGGGUAACGGCCCAACAAGCCAGUCAUCGGUACGGGUUGUGGGAGCAAGAGCCCGGAGAUGGAAUCUGAGACACGAUUCCAGGCCCUACGGGGCGCAGCAGGCGCGAAAACUUUACAAUGCAGGAAACUGUGAUAAGGGAACCCCGAGUGCUCGUACACGCGAGCUGUCCAGGUGUGUAAAAAGCAUCUGAAGAAAGGGCCGGGCAAGACCGGUGCCAGCCGCCGCGGUAAUACCGGCGGCUCGAGUGGUGGCCACUAUUAUUGGGCUUAAAGCGUUCGUAGCUGGACUCUUAAGUCUCCUGGGAAAUCCGCCGGCUCAACCGGCGGGCGUCCAGGAGAUACUGGGAGUCUUGGAACCGGAAGAGGUAAGAGGUACUUCGGGGUAGGAG